This 649-nucleotide long non-coding RNA is filed under the name Gossypium raimondii (Peruvian cotton). RNAcentral describes it as "long non-coding RNA (GRAI_LNC004429)". The record is from RNAcentral. Lineage: Eukaryota; Viridiplantae; Streptophyta; Magnoliopsida; Malvales; Malvaceae.
AAUUACAUCCUUUACAAAAAAAAAAAAAGCCUUUUUUAAUCUAAAUAUCUGAAUCGCAAGUGUAUCUCGCUAUUUAGCAUCGGAUCAAAAUUCGAUUUCACAAUUAUUUUCUAGGGACCUCCAACUAUCAUUACAUAACCAUAAUUUUCAACAGCUUUCAUUUCUUACAUUUUUGUCCUCAACACAUGCAGCAACUGUCAUGAGUACUUUUAAUUCAAUCACUUUGAACUCAUCUUUAUCAACAAUCAAGUCUAAAAUCCAUUGUACUUUCGCAAUCAAGCUUUUUCUCUCUCUAAUUUCCCAAGCAUUUCUCCUUUCAAUCUUAACAUAUAUUGAAUGGGUUCACUUAUUUAUACCACUUAAACCAUAAUCUAGCGAGAAUUGAUGAAGAAAUUACUUACUUCCUUGGUGGGAGCUCGCGGCAUGGAGAAUACGAUGAUCAAUAUUUCUUUUUCUCUUUCUUUUGGGGAAGAGAAAGAUACUUUUCUUUUAUAAUUAAAUUCAAUAAUCCUUUAAUGUAGAUAUACUAAAGUUGCUAACUUGGUGUAAAUUGAUGGAUAGGAUCGAGCUUCUCCACUAAGCUUACUUUUAAUAGUAGCUAAUUAUGCUUAGGACCUUGGUUUAAUACUUUACCCGAUCCUUAAAUUUU